GUGCUCACUUCAGCAGCACAUAUACUAAAAUUGGAAUGGCACAGAAAAGAUUAGCAUGGUCCCUGCACAGGGAUGACAUGCAGAUUCUUAAAGCAUUCCAUGUUUUU
Molecule: small nuclear RNA, 107 nt
Filed under: Dasypus novemcinctus (nine-banded armadillo)
Lineage: Eukaryota; Metazoa; Chordata; Mammalia; Cingulata; Dasypodidae
Source: RNAcentral